GUGCUUGCCCCAGCAGCACAUAGACCAAAAUUGGAAGAUACAGAGAAGACGAGUAUGACCCCCGCACAAGAAUGGCCCACAGAUUUGUGACGCCUUCCAUGCUUAA
RNAcentral lists this small nuclear RNA (106 nucleotides) under Cebus imitator (Panamanian white-faced capuchin). The record is from RNAcentral. Lineage: Eukaryota; Metazoa; Chordata; Mammalia; Primates; Cebidae.